CUCAAAGCAGGAGCUAGCAGAUGGCUGCAUCGUUAGCUGGUGGCCACAGCCUUAUGAGAUGAGUUUUGGAAUUUCCAUCAAAGUCGGGAUUAGGCUCAGGAUAUGCCGAUGGCACAGAGCACCGCGGGGGAGUGUGGAAGAAGAGGAAAUCAUUCAUAGCGACUCAUCUUGUGGUUGGUGAGGAAGUUUUCAGCUGGUGAUUUAUCAACUAAGUAUUUUACAGGAUCAUAGUUAAAAGCUCUUAAAAAAAAAAUAUGUCCUGUGCGAUAGGGAAAGUAAAAGCAUCUCGGUUUCCAAAUGCUGAAGGAAUAACCGAAAGAGCUAGUUCUUGGAAUAGUAGCUCCAUUGGCACUCGUUGGUGAUUUCCUGUGCAUUUGCUGCAAGAAUCACUCUGUGAUGUGAGUAGGUGGUACUAAAGGGUUAUUACGAAACCGAUUUUCAACCAGACGUUUUGAGUCAUGGAUCGGGAAGAGGGAUAGCAGCUUCAGAGCUUUCUCUUUGUUCGAGCAGUGCGCCUGAAAUGCACACGCAGGAUAUUUUGUGCUUGCAUGGAACAAGGCAGACUGGGGAUAGGUCUGGUAUUACAUGAAGUGCCCUUCUUCGUGCCACUCCAUCUCAAGGAUGGGAAACGAGAACGUGGGCUGAGAGCCGGCAGCAGUGUGCAAGGUGCACAAGGAGCAGUUUCCUGACUGUCUUUCAAUUAUUCAGAAGACGUCUGUGAGCAUACGGGUAUGACUAGCAAAGGAGAGACGGUUCUAGUACCUGCUGCCUGUGGGAUUUAUUUUGUGCCAGGAAGGAGCUGAGGUGCUGACUACUGAAUAACACCUAAACUUUAUUUCUGAUGCUUCUCCUGAUAAUGCAUUGGUAAGUUUAUGUACUUCUCAUUUUCAGUGCUAAGAUGGUAUCUUGCUAAAUGUAAUUGAAAGAAAGCUCUUUAACAGCUUUAUGAACAUGGCAAGGUGUAUUCAUUUUUUCACUGGAGCAGCUUUUACAGAAAACACUAGCUGGCCUGCUGCAGUUCAGGAGUCUGUAAAUAACGGGGGAAACUUUGUCGAUCAGGUCGACAAAAACAAUUUAAAAUUGCUGUUCCCUCCCACCUUUAAGCUACAAACCUCUGCUAACAUUGGUACUAAGCAAAGAGGAUGGGCCAGCCCUCCAGCUUUGGGAUCCUGUCGUCCUGGAGUCACGGCUACGCUGUAAUUUUCCUGUUACACUUUACUGAAUGAACAAGACUUGGGUCUUGUGGAAUUUCACACGAGAAUCAGAUGUCCAUUCCUGGAAUUAAAUCUAAUGAUACUUUUCCUAAAAUAUGCCUAGAAUAGGAAUGAUGUUAUUUUUAAGUGGCUCUGUAAAUCGCAAGAAAAAAGGUACCAAUUAGUGGUUUCUCAAAAAACCCCAAUCAUUAACAUACUGUUGGCUAGAAGAAAUCACGUUGGCUGACGGAGCUAGGUCUGGAAGUCGUGCUCCCUGAAUCUGCUGUCAAUUCUGCCACUGGUUUUGGGAGGGAUUUUUUGGAGGGGGUGCUUCUUGGGCAAGUCAUUAUUUAUUCUUAGUUGUCGAUAAAAUGAGGAUAGUGUUAUUUAACUUUUCCUUCGGUGCUUUACUUGGAUGCUGAUACGUGGUACUGUAGCUCUUGGAUCUCUAGAAUAUUGUUUUGAAUGCAUAGGUUAUUGGAAGUUGGGGAAAGCAAAAUAGUGAUUAUUGAAUUUAUCAUGCUCUGUGACAGGUCCUCUCUAGACACCAGCUGUAGGAGUUGCUGGUGCUGUGUCCUAACCGUCCACCACGAAGGGAGGAAUUCACUGCUGCUGUUCUUCCCUGGGUGGGUGACGCUGGGACGCCUUGCGUUCCCAAACCCGCUUGAGUUGGGAGUUGUAGUAAGGUGCUCAUGGAUAUUUUUUCCCUCUUUUCCGAAACAGCAACCGAGAAGGCAGUCCGUGCACCACACGUCCCUACGGAACUGCAAAUAAACCCAGUGGUUAAGAGAAAAAAAAAAAAAGGAAGGUUUAGCAUUGUACUGGAUUUCCUUGUCUUAAGUGCUUCCUUCGGAUCUUGGGAGAAGAGCUCAAGCACGGGGUGACUUUCUAGCGAGCAGUUGUACCAAAAGGCGUGGGAGGCCGGGUCAGGGAAGAGUCAUUUGGUUGUUAUGUGGGUGUGAAAAGCCUAUGAAAAGGAAAGGGCGGAGGAAAAUAUUUUACUUGAAUUAAACAAAUAAAGGAGAAUGUUAUAUGAAUUAGGUAUUCGAAGUUAGAUUUUUGACAGGUAUUUUUGUGAAUUAACUGCAUAUCUUCUGAAAAUCAUUUAUUUAACCAUAAGCUUAUCAAAAUGUUCUCAGGAGGGACUUGUUAAAAAAAAAAAAAGGCAA
Long non-coding RNA from Pygoscelis adeliae (Adelie penguin), 2362 nucleotides. RefSeq lists it as uncharacterized. The record is from RefSeq and is a predicted model, not a curated record. The transcript is spliced from 3 exons. NCBI's taxonomy places the organism in Eukaryota, Metazoa, Chordata, Aves, Sphenisciformes, Spheniscidae.